UAAGGAAUAUUGGUCAAUGGAGGGAACUCUGAACCAGCCAUGCCGCGUGAAGGAUGACGGCCCUCUGGGUUGUAAACUUCUUUUGGAUGGGGCGAAAAAACGGGNAUUUAUCCUGGACUGACGGUACCAUCAGAAUAAGCACCGGCUAACUCCGUGCCAGCAGCCGCGGUAAUACGAAGGGUGCAAGCGUUAUCCGGAAUCACUGGGUUUAAAGGGUGCGUAGGCGGUUGUAUAAGUCAGGGGUGAAAGCACGCAGCUUAACUGUGUAAUUGCCUUUGAUACUGUACGGCUUGAAUAGGGUUGAGGUUGGCGGAAUGUGACAUGUAGCGGUGAAAUGGCAUAGAUAUGUCAUGAACACCGAUUGCAAGGCAGCUGACUGGGCCUAGAUUGACGNCUGAGGC
RNAcentral lists this ribosomal RNA (401 nucleotides) under uncultured bacterium. RNAcentral describes it as "bacterial SSU rRNA". It matches the Rfam family "Bacterial small subunit ribosomal RNA", at positions 355 to 752 of the family's 1533-position model. The record is from RNAcentral.